UACGUAGGUGGCAAGCGUUGUCCGGAAUUAUUGGGCGUAAAGCGCGCGUAGGCGGGAUGAUUAGUCUGUUGUGAAAUUGCGGGGCUCAACCCCGUAUUGGCAAUGGAAACUGUCAUUCUUGAGUGCAGGAGAGGAAAGCGGAAUUCCCAGUGUAGCGGUGAAAUGCGUAGAUAUUGGGAGGAACACCAGUGGCGAAGGCGGCUUUCUGGACUGUGUCUGACGCUGAGGAGCGAAAGCCAGGGGAGCGAACGGGAUUAGAUACCCCGGUAGUCCUGGCCGUAAACGAUGGGUACUAGGUGUAGGAGGUAUCGACCCCUUCUGUGCCGGAGUUAACGCAAUAAGUACCCCGCCUGGGGAGUACGACCGCAAGGUUUAA
This 376-nucleotide ribosomal RNA is filed under the name uncultured bacterium. Its description in RNAcentral is "bacterial SSU rRNA". It matches the Rfam family "Bacterial small subunit ribosomal RNA", at positions 524 to 898 of the family's 1533-position model. The record is from RNAcentral.